CUACGGGGUGCAGCAGUGGGGAAUAUUGCACAAUGGGGGAAACCCUGAUGCAGCGACGCCGCGUGAGUGAAGAAGUAUUUCGGUAUGUAAAGCUCUAUCAGCAGGGAAGAAAAUGACGGUACCUGACUAAGAAGCCCCGGCUAACUACGUGCCAGCAGCCGCGGUAAUACGUAGGGGGCAAGCGUUAUCCGGAUUUACUGGGUGUAAAGGGAGCGUAGACGGUGAGACAAGUCUGAAGUGAAAUCCCGGGGCUCAACCCCGGAACUGCUUUGGAAACUGCCUGACUGGAGUGCAGAAGAGGUAAGUGGAAUUCCUAGUGUAGCGGUGAAAUGCGUAGAUAUUAGGAGGAACACCAGUGGCGAAGGCGGCUUACUGGACUGUAACUGACGUUGAGGCUCGAAAGCGUGGGGAGCAAACAGGAUUAGAUACCCUUGUAGUC
Molecule: ribosomal RNA, 439 nt
Filed under: uncultured bacterium
Lineage: Bacteria
Description: partial 16S ribosomal RNA
Rfam family: Bacterial small subunit ribosomal RNA
Source: RNAcentral